GCCCCAAGGCCCAGCUCCCCAGAGCCCUGCUCAGGGAGUGAUUGGGGCAGCUCUGGGGUGAAGGCGGGCACUUCAGGAAAGCAAGGUGCCUUCAUCAUCCCAAGAGACUAAAUCCUGGGAGCCGGGGCCUCCAGGGAGACAACUCCCAGCUCUGAAGCCUGGAACUGCAGGCUUCAGGCCACGCUCUCUGUUUUGAUCUGCUCUUGUUUCAGAGCUGGGUGCAGUGACUCACCUCUAUGAUCCCAGCACUCGGAAGGCUGAGGCAGAAGGAUUACCACAUUUUCCAGGCCAAUGUGGACUGCAAGGGUCUGAAAGGAACACGGUUCCUCUUAAAGCUACCUCAGGCUGGUAUGAAAAGGGAAACGUGGGCAGAAAUGUCCCUCAGAAAGAAGCUACUACAUCAGAGUGCAAGAGGGCUGGCGGCAGCGCUCCACGGUACAGCACUGGCCCACCUUAAGUUCUGUCCCCUGGACCAGAAGAGGAGGAAGAGUAGGAGGAAGAGGAAGAAGUAAAGGAGGAGAGAGAGGGACGAGCCUGUGCAAAGGCUCGGUGGGAAAAGGCACUUUCACCUCAGUUCUAACCCAGGCACCUACACAGUGAAAGUAAGAACUGCUUCCCACAAGCUGUUCUCCGACACCCACACUCUUACCACGGCAUGCACACCCAUAUGCACACCCAAGCAUAACAAACAAGUCAAACACUGCUUUCUGUGAAAAAACCUGCUUCAAAUCCACACAUGCAGUUUUUCACCAGGAACGCAGAGGCAGUACGGAAACAAAGGCACAAAAAAAAAAAAAAACCAACUGGCAAAUUUCCCCCACGUAAAACUUACUUCUCUAACCAGAUGAUCUGCCUGUGCCCUAAAAGAAAACUGUCGAACAGCACAGAGCUUCUUAAUAUCUCAGAGUCCGAGACAGGUCUUUCCAGAUGACUUAGACAGUCACGGGGCUGGACCAAGACCAGAUCUGCCAACCCCAGGCCAGCCGCGUCCCGCUCUGCCUGUCUUUAUUGAGUAACAAACAUUCAUUCUCUCACCCAGGUAGCCCAGAGCUGGACAAGGCAGCCCUUUUUGGAAGCCAGCCUUUCUUCUAGCUUGGGAGAAACGUAGCAAUGAGCCAAGACCUGUGGAAAAGGAACCAGAACCCACGAACAACAACACAGGCUUUCCCCCAAGAACUCAUCAACAGAAAUUAAUCCAAAAGCAAACACCAAUGUCUGCAGUAAACCUGAUUACUUAUUAAUUAUACACUGACAACGUGUAACAGCAGAAACUGACUUUGUUAUUCAAACUGACAAGCAUCUUUUCCUUUUAAAUGAGAGUCCGAUUGAUACCCAUCACUGAAUAAAGAACACAGGCCAGUUUCCCUCUAAAGACCUAGCAGGAAGUGGCACAUGCCAAACUGCCAGAAAAUGGCUAGGCUAAAGAAAAGCAAUUCCAACUGUUGGUCACUGAAAGCUUGAAAGUCCCUGGGUUAUAGCUUCACUUUCAGGCCUCAGGCAUGAGUUAGCAACCUCUAGGAUGAGGGGCUGGAGCUCUUCGCAUGCUUUCUUGAGGCAAUGACGAGCUCAGAAAAAGAGAACGUCAAGACACAGGCAGUGGGGACUCCUCUCAGCACUGUGGGUGUGAGGACAGCAGGCUGAAUAAGGCAGAGCUGGUCUCUGGAUUCCCACAGAUCCCAGUCCUCCUAUUUCCAGGUGAGCUGGAGUGAUGGCUCUGCCCUCAGCGCUCUGCUCCCUUGACUUCACCAUGCUCCCCCCAACUUGGUUACAUUGUGUCCAUUCCACGUCAGUCAUCAGCCACCAGCCUAUCUGGCGAUGUAGUCAUUUUGCUUAUGGUUUACCCCUCUCCUAAGGAACAAAAGCUUGAAAGGAGCAGAAUUAUUUUUGUUGCUCUUCGCCGAGAUCUUUUUUUUAAUUCGCUGCUAUAUUCCCAACGCCCAGACAACAUCUGGCACACGGAAGGCCCUCGAAGGCUCACUGGGUAGUCACAAGAGGACAAUGUUUGUGGUGCAUGUACUAAUCAAGUUCAUGGGUAUCAAGAUGACUUCUACCUCUUCCUAGGGUUUAAAGCAGCGAGUGACUAAACUUCGUUCCUUUUAGAGUGAAUCAAUUCCAUAUCUGGAAAGACACCCCAGGAGAUGGAGCGACUGUAUGCUGACACCAUCUUGAGUUGUUGACAACAGAUGCCCCCGAUUUAGUAACACA
Molecule: non-coding RNA, 2205 nt
Organism: Rattus norvegicus (Norway rat)
Lineage: Eukaryota; Metazoa; Chordata; Mammalia; Rodentia; Muridae
Source: RefSeq, a predicted model, not a curated record